UUUUGAGACGGAGUCUCCCACUGUCGCCCAGGCUGGAGUGCAAUGGCAGACUCUCAGCUCACUGCAACCUCUGCCUCCCGAGUAGCUGGGAUUACAGGCGCCUGCCACCAUGCCCAGCUAAUUUUUUUUUGUAUUUUUAGUAGAGACGAGGUUUCAUUAUGUUGGCCAGGCUGGUCUUGAACUCCUGACCUUGUGAUCCGCCUGCCUUGGCCUCCCAAAGUACUGGGAUUACAGUGAGCCAAGAUCACACCACUGCACUCCAGGCUGGGCGACAGAGCAAGACUCUGUUUCAAACAACAAACAAACAAACAAACAAAAAAACAAGCUUUUGUUUCAGAUUUCUCAAAAUACAUCUAGAUAGAACAAAUGGAAACCCUCAAGCGUGUAGGUUUUACAAAUCUAGUUUAAAAGAGGAUUGUUAAUUUAUAACACAUUGUCAUAGCAUGACUAUCAUUUGUUCCUCAUUAGUAAAUGAAAGCUCCAAGAGCGAAGAGCUUGUGUUGCU
Molecule: non-coding RNA, 505 nt
Filed under: Pongo abelii (Sumatran orangutan)
Lineage: Eukaryota; Metazoa; Chordata; Mammalia; Primates; Hominidae
Source: RNAcentral